UACAGUACUGUGAUGGUGUACGUAGUAUUAUCGCUCGAGUGAGGUCCGUAUAUUAUCUCGAAAUUGUAGUCUGUCUUUUAAUUGCUUGUUGUGAAUAAGGAGACCAAUAAAGAAGGGGAAAUAUGUAUGUAAAAAAAUAUGCAAAAUAUUUAUUUAUGGUUCAUCACUAGGAAAACGCAAGUACUGAAAUCAUUCGAAGUCUUGGUGCGGACCACGGAUACUUACUAUCUGUUGGUAGCAGUCGGCGUGAAAGAUCGUUAUCAUAACUCAGUCAAGCAGUCUCGUAUAUUGAAGAAUGGUAUUGUACUAAUUAAGGAACCCUUUAUUAAGAGAAGCUGCGAAAAAACAGCAUUAUGAGAACUCGUCAAAUCUAAAAGAACUGAAACCGGAUAUUAGUCAUCUGCAGACUGAAUCAAACAAAGUGGGAAGCUUCCACAGUUCAAUGGAGCGAGUGGUAUAUAACAGAAGAAAAUCUGAUGUGGCCAUGGAAGAUGUAGUUCAGAGGUCGUCGGCUAUCAAAGUCAAGUGACAUCAUGAGGCUAUUGCUGACUUAUUUGAUAGUCCAUAUUCAUGGAUGGUACUUUUGUCUAAAGAACAUCUCAAUGAACAUGACUUAUGCAAGGCUCUGAUGCAGUUCUGUAUGCCUUCUAAUUGUGAUGAUGUCAUCUUCAGCUUGAUCAACAUCCUACUUCGUGUCCAAUGCCUCGAAGAGAGAAAUUUCCAUGAAAAAACAUGGCCCAGUUCAUAAUUUGGCAGGGCUUCAAUUUUAUGCAGACGUACGUUCACAACUUAAACCAAGUCAAAAAGUAUACAAGAAGCAAAGGCUUGGCAGGCUUGGCAAAGAAGACCAAACACUAAAGCAGAGAUGUGCACCUGCUGCUGGGCAAAUGCCAAAUACAACAGUUAACUCAGCUAUUGGAGUGGCAGCAGACUGACAAAAAAGCAUCACUACAAGAGGAGUUACAAUAUAGAUGCGAGUCUCCAGCCAUGAAGACUAUCAGAGUGGUAGCAGACUAACAAAAAAGCAUCGCUAAAAGAGGAGGUACAAUAGAUGUGAGUCUCCAGCCACGAAGUACAGCAAUCAAACAGCUUGUACUGGGGGUAGCCAGCAAUGAGAAAGUAAUUCAGCUACCUGAUACAAUAGGUUUCAAGCAAGACAACCAGAUGAGCAGGUAGGAUAAACCCUGGGCAAAAGUACAUAACUAAAAAACUAAGGAGCAUUAAACUCAAUAACACCAAAAAUCCAGCCGACGAUUAGAAAAAAAGAUUCUGAUGUAUAUGAAAUGAUGCCUCAAGAGUAGAUGACUCUCCCUUCCAUCAGCAGACCGGUCUCGGGAAACGUCAGAGGUAAGACUGGUCCUGACACACUUGACAAAGAUGAAAGGCCACUGUCUCCACGAGUCCAUGAAAAUACAGAUGACCAUACCUGACAAAUUCGAUUACGAGGCACAACACAAGCAGCAGCACUAAUACGUAAAGAGUAGGAAUUCAAACAUAGAUAUACCAUAAUCCAAAAAUGAAACCUAAGUAUGUACUACUCGGCACACACUUAACUGUUAAGAUUUAUUUAAACUUACGUAACACAAACUACAAAACAGCUUGUGCUGUAGUUAAAAAUACACAAAGGCAAGGCUAAGCAAAAGAGGAAAAGCAUUAAUAAAAUAAAUAAAUAAAACUACCUUACCUGGAU
Molecule: long non-coding RNA, 1690 nt
Organism: Macrobrachium nipponense
Lineage: Eukaryota; Metazoa; Arthropoda; Malacostraca; Decapoda; Palaemonidae
Exons: 5
Source: RefSeq, a predicted model, not a curated record